Molecule: ribosomal RNA, 494 nt
Filed under: uncultured bacterium
Lineage: Bacteria
Description: partial 16S ribosomal RNA
Rfam family: Bacterial small subunit ribosomal RNA
Source: RNAcentral
ACGAACGCUGGCGGCGUGCCUAAUCCAUGCAAGUAGAACGCUGAAGGAGGAGCUUGCUUCUCUGGAUGAGUUGCGAACGGGUGAGUAACGCGUAGGUAACCUGCCUGGUAGCGGGGGAUAACUAUUGGAAACGAUAGCUAAUACCGCAUAAGAGUAGAUGUUGCAUGACAUUUGCUUAAAAGGUGCAAUUGCAUCACUACCAGAUGGACCUGCGUUGUAUUAGCUAGUUGGUGAGGUAACGGCUCACCAAGGCGACGAUACAUAGCCGACCUGAGAGGGUGAUCGGCCACACUGGGACUGAGACACGGCCCAGACUCCUACGGGAGGCAGCAGUAGGGAAUCUUCGGCAAUGGACGGAAGUCUGACCGAGCAACGCCGCGUGAGUGAAGAAGGUUUUCGGAUCGUAAAGCUCUGUUGUAAGAGAAGAACGAGUGUGAGAGUGGAAAGUUCACACUGUGACGGUAGCUUACCAGAAAGGGACGGCUAACUACGUG